GUUAUUUUAAUUUUCAAGAUUUAUAUUUCAAAUGUCCAUAUUUACAAAAGUUCACAUUCGUUUAUUUAUUUUGACACGGUAAACGAAAAAUAUUUAAUAUUAGCUCUGCGAAUGUAACACCUCGACAAAUAAUACACGCAGGUAAAUGCGAUAAUAUAUAUUUUGUAUUAUAAAAGUAAAAAAAAAAAAUAUAUAUAUAUAUAUAAUAUAUUAUUAUAUACCUAGUUUUAAUAUAUUAUCAGAAUACCUAUAUAUAGUUAAUAAUUUCAAAAAUAUAAUAUGGCGGAAAUCAAUAUUGGUACAAAAAAAAAAAAAAGUUUCAUACAAAAUAAGAGAAGUCGUCGUAAUUGAAAACACAGUCUUUGCAUUCGAGUAAAAAAAAAAAAAAAAAAUAAAUGGCAGGAAUAAAUAUUUUUUAACUAUUAAUGAUAACACGAAAUUAUACAUAAUAUAAUAAUAAUACCUACCGACUAUACUUACAAUAAUACAUUAUCGUACAAUUUUACAAUGUUUUACAAAAAAUAACCGAAAAAGGCAGACGCGGCAGACCCCCGAGUUACAUAGGAAAAUGCGUGUGACUCGCGCGAUCUCCGGCGGUCCGACGCGGUUCAGUACCUAAUUACCUAAUAACUACUAUACAGUCGUUUUUUUUUUUUUUCUUUUGCCACACACAAACAUACACAAUACAUAUUAGAUAAUUUACAAUAGAAUAAAAAAAAAAAAAAUAUAUGUAUAGUAUUAUAAUAAUAAUAUAUCUCACGGUGGAAAAAAAAAUUAAAAAAGAGUUAGUUUGAAUUGUAUUUACUGAUACAAUACAUGCACAUGUACAUACGUGAAUGUAUAUAUUCAUAAUAUAUUGUGUAAGAUACUGCGUAAAAAAAAAAAAUAAUAAUAAUAAUAAACAUAAUACAAAGUGAGCAAAACGAUAAUAUUAUUAUAACACAUAAUGAUUGCACACGGGAUAUAAAAAAUAAAAAAAAAAUUUGAUUUCGAGUACAUAUGGCAAGGCGUUUACGUUAUUUUCACGCAGAGGUGUAUACGAUAAUCUGUACUAAUUAUUUUAGACUAUCGGUUUAUUUCGCGUUUAUAGAACAUGACAAAAAAAAAAAAAAAUAUUAAAAAAAAAACCUUAACACUAUAUUCGGUAGUCAGUGCGCGUGUUAUAAUACCAUGACAUCGUCGUCAUAAUACUUAAAACGCGCACAAUUAUCACAAUAUCUAUAAAAAUAUAUAAAAUGUAUAAAAAAAAAAAAAAAAAAAAAAAAAAAAACUCUACCUUUGAUUUUAUCGCUGAACACCGUCCAUUGCGGUGCGCUAUAUUUGAAUCCGUAAAAAUAAUGCUAAAAAUUAUACUAAUUUAUUACAUGGUAAAAAAGAAACCGGAGCGCAAAACUCAACGGCCGCCGAAAGGGUACUGUCGGUGUACGUAUUAUUAUUAUUGUUGUUUAUUCGUUGGCUGCGUACUAAUCGAAACACGUGUU
Molecule: non-coding RNA, 1481 nt
Organism: Cinara cedri
Lineage: Eukaryota; Metazoa; Arthropoda; Insecta; Hemiptera; Aphididae
Source: the annotation of a GenBank genome assembly